GGAAUAUUGGACAAUGGGGGGAACCCUGAUCCAGCGACGCCGCGUGAGUGAAGAAGUAUUUCGGUAUGUAAAGCUCUAUCAGCAGGGAAGAAAAUGACGGUACCUGACUAAGAAGCCCCGGCUAACUACGUGCCAGCAGCCGCGGUAAUACGUAGGGGGCAAGCGUUAUCCGGAUUUACUGGGUGUAAAGGGAGCGUAGACGGUUGUGCAAGUCUGAUGUGAAAACCCGGGGCUCAACUCCGGGAUUGCAUUGGAAACUGUAUAACUAGAGUGCAGGAGAGGUAAGUGGAAUUCCUAGUGUAGCGGUGAAAUGCGUAGAUAUUAGGAGGAACACCGGCGGCGAAGGCGGCUUACUGGACUGUAACUGACGUUGAGGCUCGAAAGCGUGGGGAGCAAACA
This 399-nucleotide ribosomal RNA is filed under the name uncultured Clostridium sp. Its description in RNAcentral is "bacterial SSU rRNA". It matches the Rfam family "Bacterial small subunit ribosomal RNA", at positions 358 to 774 of the family's 1533-position model. Lineage: Bacteria; Bacillati; Bacillota; Clostridia; Eubacteriales; Clostridiaceae. The record is from RNAcentral.